GACGAACGCUGGCGGCGUGCUUAACACAUGCAAGUCGAGCGAGAGAAAUUCCUUCGGGAAGGACUCUAGCGGCGGACGGGUGAGUAACACGUGGGUAACUUGCCUCAUAGAGGGGAAUAGCCUUUCGAAAGGAAGAUUAAUACCGCAUAAGAUUGUAGUAUCGCAUGAUGCAGCAAUUAAAGGAGUAAUCCGCUAUGAGAUGGACCCGCGUCGCAUUAGCUAGUUGGUGAGGUAACGGCUCACCAAGGCGACGAUGCGUAGCCGACCUGAGAGGGUGAUCGGCCACAUUGGGACUGAUACACGGCCCAGACUCCUACGGGAGGCAGCAGUGGGGAAUAUUGCACAAUGGGGGAAACCCUGAUGCAGCAACGCCGCGUGAGUGAUGACGGUCUUCGGAUUGUAAAACUCUGUCUUCAGGGACGAUAAUGACGGUACCUGAGGAGGAAGCCACGGCUAACUACGUGCCAGCCGCCGCGGUAA
Molecule: ribosomal RNA, 480 nt
Filed under: uncultured bacterium
Lineage: Bacteria
Description: partial 16S ribosomal RNA
Rfam family: Bacterial small subunit ribosomal RNA
Source: RNAcentral